This 23-nucleotide small nuclear RNA is filed under the name Arabidopsis thaliana (thale cress). RNAcentral's name for it is "snRNA_10291". Lineage: Eukaryota; Viridiplantae; Streptophyta; Magnoliopsida; Brassicales; Brassicaceae. The record is from RNAcentral.
AUACGAACAAAAUACUAAAAUUG